CGAAGGCGCUCUACUGGGCCGUAACUGACGCUGAGGGACGAAAGCUAGGGGAGCGAAAGGGAUUAGAUACCCCUGUAGUCCUAGCUGUAAACGAUGGAUACUAGGUGUUGGACGUAUCGACCCGUUCAGUACCGCAGCCAACGCGAUAAGUAUCCCGCCUGGGGAGUACGCACGCAAGUGUGAAACUCAAAGGAAUUGACGGGGGCCCGCACAAGCGGUGGAGUAUGUGGUUUAAUUCGAUGCAACGCGAAGAACCUUACCAGGGCUUGACAUCCCUCGAAUCCUCUUGAAAGAGAGGAGUGCCUUCGGGAGCGAGGAGACAGGUGGUGCAUGGCUGUCGUCAGCUCGUGUCGUGAGAUGUUGGGUUAAGUCCCGCAACGAGCGCAACCCACGUCCUUAGUUGCCAUCAUUGAGUUGGGCACUCUGGGGAGACUGCCGGGGACAGCUCGGAGGAAGGUGUGGAUGACGUCAAGUCAUCAUGCCCCUUACGUUCUGGGCUACACACGUACUACAAUGCUUCGGACAAAGAGCAGCCAACUAGCGAUAGUGGGCUAAUCUCAUAAACCGAGGCACAGUUCAGAUUGCAGGCUGCAACUCGCCUGCAUGAAGGAGGAAUCGCUAGUAAUCGCCGGUCAGCAUACGGCGGUGAAUACGUUCCCGGGCCUUGUACACACCGCCCGUCACACCAUGGGAGUUGGCCACGCCCGAAGUCGUUACUCUAACCGUUCGCGGAGGAGGGCGCCGA
Molecule: ribosomal RNA, 745 nt
Filed under: uncultured bacterium
Lineage: Bacteria
Description: bacterial SSU rRNA
Rfam family: Bacterial small subunit ribosomal RNA
Source: RNAcentral